Pelodiscus sinensis (Chinese soft-shelled turtle) is the source of this 481-nucleotide long non-coding RNA. RefSeq lists it as uncharacterized. The record is from RefSeq and is a predicted model, not a curated record. NCBI's taxonomy places the organism in Eukaryota, Metazoa, Chordata, Testudines, Trionychidae.
UGCAUCACUUGCUUUUCUUUUUGUUGUUAUAAUUAAAGUUAGGUGUUACUUGAGCGAUUGUCUUUUUUUUUUUAAACUAGAAUUCACCUAGGAAAGGUCAGCAUGCUGCAUCAUGUGCUUCUGUCGGUGCAGCACAACACACUGUGAAUAACUGAGGUCUUACUGUAAUGCCAUUUCCUCUGGAGACCACGUACCCUGGGUCUGGAGAUCACCAAGGUACACCCUCCUCAGCCAAAGUCCAAGGCAUCCAAGACCAACUCAACCAAGUGAGGAGUGCUGUUGAAGGGGACUCCUUGCAGGACAUUCCCAGGGCUGAGGAGACAGUAUGUGGAUAGCAGCACUGUGCAUCCCUCUAGAUCUGAGGUCUAGAGCUGCCUUUGACAAGCCAAUUGAUAUCCUGAUGUCUGAGGGCUUGCCAAACAAAAGGGAGGUCUUGAGUCAACUGCUGAUCCUCUAUUGACAGUGGAGCAGCCACAUGACG